This 481-nucleotide ribosomal RNA is filed under the name uncultured bacterium. RNAcentral describes it as "bacterial SSU rRNA". It matches the Rfam family "Bacterial small subunit ribosomal RNA", at positions 8 to 486 of the family's 1533-position model. The record is from RNAcentral.
AGAGUUUGAUCCUGGCUCAGAUUGAACGCUGGCGGCAUGCCUUACACAUGCAAGUCGAACGGCAGCGGACCUUCGGGUGCCGGCGAGUGGCGAACGGGUGAGUAAUGUAUCGGAACGUACCUUUCAGUGGGGGAUAACGUAGCGAAAGUUACGCUAAUACCGCAUAUUCUGUGCGCAGGAAAGCAGGGGAUCGCAAGACCUUGCGCUGAUUGAGCGGCCGAUAUCAGAUUAGCUAGUUGGUGAGGUAAAGGCUCACCAAGGCGACGAUCUGUAGCGGGUCUGAGAGGAUGAUCCGCCACACUGGAACUGAGACACGGUCCAGACUCCUACGGGAGGCAGCAGUGGGGAAUUUUGGACAAUGGGGGCAACCCUGAUCCAGCCAUGCCGCGUGAGUGAAGAAGGCCUUCGGGUUGUAAAGCUCUUUCGGCCGGGAAGAAAUCGCAUGGGUUAAUACCCUGUGCGGAUGACGGUACCGGCAUAG